CCCUUAGAUGUUCUGGGCCGCACGCGCGCUACACUGAUGAACGCAACGAGACCACCUGUACCGAAAGGCAUGGGUAAACUUGUGAAAGUUCAUCGUGAUGGGGAUAGAUUAUUGCAAUUAUUAAUCUUCAACGAGGAAUUCCUAGUAAGCGCGAGUCAUCAGCUCGCGUUGAUUACGUCCCUGCCAUUUGUACACACCGUCCGUCGCUCCUACCGAUUGAAUGGUCCGGUGAAAUCUUCGGAUUGCUGGAUAGGACUUCAUUGACCUAUCUGCGAGAAGUUGCUUGAACCUUAUCAUUUAGAGGAAGGAGAAGUCGUAACA
This 321-nucleotide ribosomal RNA is filed under the name uncultured eukaryote. Its description in RNAcentral is "partial 18S ribosomal RNA". It matches the Rfam family "Eukaryotic small subunit ribosomal RNA", at positions 1470 to 1796 of the family's 1831-position model. The record is from RNAcentral.